Molecule: ribosomal RNA, 314 nt
Filed under: uncultured bacterium
Lineage: Bacteria
Description: bacterial SSU rRNA
Rfam family: Bacterial small subunit ribosomal RNA
Source: RNAcentral
GAUGAACGCUGGCGGCGUGCUUAACACAUGCAAGUCGAGGGGCAUCAGGAAGGAAGCUUGCUUUCUUCGCUGGCGACCGGCGCACGGGUGAGUAACACGUAUCCAACCUGCCGAUGACUCGGGGAUAGCCUUUCGAAAGAAAGAUUAAUACCCGAUGGCAUAGUUCUUCCGCAUGGUAGGACUAUUAAAGAAUUUCGGUCAUCGAUGGGGAUGCGUUCCAUUAGCUUGUUGGCGGGGUAACGGCCCACCAAGGCAUCGAUGGAUAGGGGUUCUGAGAGGAAGGUCCCCCACAUUGGAACUGAGACACGGUCCAA